This is a long non-coding RNA of Wyeomyia smithii (pitcher-plant mosquito), 1861 nucleotides long. RefSeq lists it as uncharacterized. The transcript is spliced from 5 exons. The record is from RefSeq and is a predicted model, not a curated record. NCBI's taxonomy places the organism in Eukaryota, Metazoa, Arthropoda, Insecta, Diptera, Culicidae.
AGAACAGAUGUGAGUGAAAAUCAUCCACGAGAGCCCCAGAGCGGAAAUCAUGCAAUACCUGAUUUCAUUUACUUUGAUGUUGGAUUCAUUUUCCUAUAGUUCGGAAAUUGACAACCGGGAACUUAUAAUUUGAGUUGCGAGCGUUGCGGUUGCACUUUUUCACUCGGCUUUGGUUUUGGUUACAAUAUUUUUUUUUAUUUUCGAUUCUACUGAUAAGUAAAAGUGGUUUCACCCGUGAAUUGUUUGAAAUAGAGAAAAGCAAAUAAGUGUGUGAGUUAGUUAAUGGUAAAUAAACCUAUAGCAUUGUUUUUUUUUAUUUGGUGUUGCCUUCUGUCAGGCAUUUGGCUGAGGCCCAUAAAUAGCAUUGAUUUAUUUUCAACGACACAUUUUGAAGCAAGAAUAUCGACGGCUUACAAAAUAGUCCUUGCUCCAAUCAGUUUCGAUUACGUAUAAUGUUUCUGUAGCAUCCCCUGAACGGUGAAAUCCCGGUGGAAGCAUUUAUCAAGCAUAUAAACGAUUGAAAGGGACCAUUACUAAAAGGCAAGAUAGGGAAUUACUUCGUACUACCUGUUGAAGAAGCCUGAAGUGUGGUGAUAUUCUAAUAAAAUAUCCCCACUAUAAAAAGGAGCUCGGAUAUCAACUGUUUGCUGUUGAAAUAAUCGAAUGAGUUUUGAUGGUUCACUUCCAUGUUCCAAAUCGAUGAAGAUAACCGUGAUUUAGGAUACAAAGAAAUAAGAGCUAACUGGAAAAAUAUAAUCGACAAAUUAUGGACGUAUGUCAUAUUGAAGUUCGAAGCCAGAACUCUUGUUGUGCUGGAAUUUAUGAAUCGUUCAAGUCAAUCUGAAGAUGCUCUCAUUUGUUGCUUUUUAAUUCAACUCACUAGGCUUUACACAAAAGCCUAGUGAAGUUACAAAGAUCAUGAGACCAGUAAUUCUAACCGCACAAGAGGAUGCGCUAAUGUGUGCUGGUAAUCUAGUCUCUGCGCACGAGUCCAAUCAAACCACAUCCCAAAUAAUCGUCGUUGGAGAUGAUUAUACACCUCUACGAAGAGACAGUUCUAUGUGUGAAACGUAUACACAAAAAUUGACAGCUGUAUACCGAUUUUCAAGAUAUGUUUCAACCAAUCUACAAUUAAACGCUGCAUAGCAGCGAUAUAAGCAGGAAGAUCGAUAUAAAACUGUCAUACGAAUUAUAUACAACCCCUGGAACCAGUUCCAGCAGUACAUUCACAAAGAUCUGCAACGGUUUUUGAGAGCUAUGAGUUUGUUCAAUCGUUACGGGAUAAUGAUCGCAUGGCACUGAAUUUCCUGCUUGAUCUCUACAAACGUUGUAAAAUAACACGAAAGGAUAUUCUCGAUGUUCAAUCUAGAGUCAGGGACUUGAAUAGUCAUCUUGAAGGCCUCAUCAGUUCAGUAAUAUCGUUUCAAACUAACGACCCACUAACGCGUUUUGUUACUUUUUUUUAUCUAUGUGUUUUGUUAAUGAUAUCUCUCUACAAAAAUUGUCUGCUAUGUUUGAUUUUAUUGAUACAGCGCACAAAUUCUCUAAGUUUCAGAAUCAAAUCUUUUUGAACAGCCAAGAGUUUUCAUCAUUAAGAACAUCAUCAAUUUAAUCUUAAUGGAUAUAGAACUUCAAAUCAAAAAUUUCUCGAAACCGAAGAUGUAUCAAUAGAUAUAAUUACCAAUAUCAACGAACUAAUGCAAAUAUGAAAUUGUUAAAACCACUCAGUCCAUAACACUAAAACACAAAGUAUUGUUUGGGAAACUUCGUAGCAGUAAGUCAAAAAUUUAUAGCAGAAUUAUAUCAAAUAAUAGAAUUGCUCAAUUAUUACAAACAGUAAUGCUAUGUUUAUAUGACUGAA